This 407-nucleotide ribosomal RNA is filed under the name uncultured bacterium. Its description in RNAcentral is "partial 16S ribosomal RNA". It matches the Rfam family "Bacterial small subunit ribosomal RNA", at positions 30 to 526 of the family's 1533-position model. The record is from RNAcentral.
AUUGAACGCUGGCGACAGGCCUAACACAUGCAAGUCGAGCGGAGCGGCGGACGGGUGAGUAAUGCCUAGGAAUCUGCCUGGUAGUGGGGGAUAACGUCCGGAAACGGGCGCUAAUACCGCAUACUCUCAGAUCAGCCUAGGUCGGAUUGGCUAGAUGGGGGGGUAAAGGCCUACCAAGGCGACGAUCCGUAACCGGUCUGAGCGGGUGAUCAGGCACACUGGAAUGGAGACACGGCCCAGACUCCUACGGGAGGCAGCAGUGGGGAAUAUUGGACAAUGGGCGAAAGCCGUAUCCAGCCAUGCCGCGUGUGGGAAGAAGGUCUUCGGAUUGUAAGGCACUUUAAGUUGGGAGGCGUUACCUACAGAGUAAGCACCGGCUAACUACGUGCCAGCAGCCGCGGUAAUAC